GACGAACGCUGGCGGCGUGCUUAACACAUGCAAGUCGAACGGAAAGGCCCUGCUUUUGUGGGGUGCUCGAGUGGCGGACGGGUGAGUAACACGUGAGUAACCUGCCCUUGACUUUGGGAUAACUUCAGGAAACUGGGGCUAAUACCGGAUAGGAGCUCCUGCUGCAUGGUGGGGGUUGGAAAGUUUCGGCGGGUGGGGAUGGACUCGCGGCUUAUCAGCUUGUUGGUGGGGUAGUGGCUUACCAAGGCUUUGACGGGUAGCCGGCCUGAGAGGGUGACCGGCCACAUUGGGCCUGAGAUACGGACCAGACUCCUACGGGAGGCAGCAGUGGGGAAUAUUGCACAAUGGGCGGAAGCCUGAUGCAGCAACGCCGCGUGCGGGAUGACGGCCUUCGGGUUGUAAACCGCUUUCGCCUGUGACGAAGCGUGAGUGACGGUAAUGGGUAAAGAAGCACCGGCUAACUACGUG
RNAcentral lists this ribosomal RNA (468 nucleotides) under uncultured bacterium. Its description in RNAcentral is "partial 16S ribosomal RNA". It matches the Rfam family "Bacterial small subunit ribosomal RNA", at positions 28 to 507 of the family's 1533-position model. The record is from RNAcentral.